UAGGCGGAGAUGCAAGUUGGGAGUGAAAUCCCGGGGCUCAACCCCGGAACUGCUUUCAAAACUGCAUCCCUUGAGUAUCGGAGAGGCAAGCGGAAUUCCUAGUGUAGCGGUGAAAUGCGUAGAUAUUAGGAGGAACACCAGUGGCGAAGGCGGCUUGCUGGACGACAACUGACGCUGAGGCGCGAAAGCGUGGGGAGCAAACAGGAUUAGAUACCCUGGUAGUCCACGCUGUAAACGAUGAAUACUAGGUGUGGGAGGACUGACCCCNUUCCGUGCCGCAGUUAACACAAUAAGUAUUCCACCUGGGGAGUACGACCGCNAGGUUGAAACUCAAAGGAAUUGACGGGGGCCCGCACAAGCAGU
Molecule: ribosomal RNA, 363 nt
Filed under: uncultured bacterium
Lineage: Bacteria
Description: bacterial SSU rRNA
Rfam family: Bacterial small subunit ribosomal RNA
Source: RNAcentral